AUGCAAGUCGAGCGGUAACAGAAAGUAGCUUGCUACUUUGCUGACGAGCGGCGGACGGGUGAGUAAUGCCUAGGAAUCUGCCUAGUAGUGGGGGAUAACUUGCCGAAAGGUAAGCUAAUACCGCAUACGUCCUACGGGAGAAAGCAGGGGACCUUCGGGCCUUGCGCUAUUAGAUGAGCCUAGGUCGGAUUAGUUAGUUGGUGAGGUAAUGGCUCACCAAGACCGCGAUCCGUAACUGGUCUGAGAGGAUGAUCAGUCACACUGGAACUGAGACACGGUCCAGACUCCUACGGGAGGCAGCAGUGGGGAAUAUUGGACAAUGGGGGCAACCCUGAUCCAGCCAUGCCGCGUGUGUGAAGAAGGUCUUCGGAUUGUAAAGCACUUUAAGUUGGGAGGAAGAGCAGUUAACUAAUAUUUGACUGUUUUGACGUUACCGACAGAAUAAGCACCGGCUAACUUCGUGCCAGCAGCCGCGGUAAUACGAAGGGUGCAAGCGUUAAUCGGAAUUACUGGGCGUAAAGCGCGCGUAGGUGGUUCGUUAAGUUAGGAGUGAAAGCCCCGGGCUCAACCUGGGAAUUGCUUCUAAAACUGGCGAGCUAGAGUAUGGUAGAGGGUGGUGGAAUUUCCUGUGUAGCGGUGAAAUGCGUAGAUAUAGGAAGGAACAUCAGUGGCGAAGGCGACCACCUGGACUGAUACUGACACUGAGGUGCGAAAGCGUGG
This 720-nucleotide ribosomal RNA is filed under the name uncultured Pseudomonas sp. Its description in RNAcentral is "bacterial SSU rRNA". It matches the Rfam family "Bacterial small subunit ribosomal RNA", at positions 55 to 764 of the family's 1533-position model. The record is from RNAcentral. Lineage: Bacteria; Pseudomonadati; Pseudomonadota; Gammaproteobacteria; Pseudomonadales; Pseudomonadaceae.